This 76-nucleotide transfer RNA is filed under the name Mogibacterium timidum. Its description in RNAcentral is "tRNA-Arg(cct)". It matches the Rfam family "tRNA". Rfam says of the family: Transfer RNA (tRNA) molecules are approximately 80 nucleotides in length. Their secondary structure includes four short double-helical elements and three loops (D, anti-codon, and T loops). Further hydrogen bonds mediate the characteristic L-shaped molecular structure. tRNAs have two regions of fundamental functional importance: the anti-codon, which is responsible for specific mRNA codon recognition, and the 3' end, to which the tRNAs corresponding amino acid is attached (by aminoacyl-tRNA synthetases). tRNAs cope with the degeneracy of the genetic code in two manners: having more than one tRNA (with a specific anti-codon) for a particular amino acid; and 'wobble' base-pairing, i.e. permitting non-standard base-pairing at the 3rd anti-codon position. RNAcentral also lists the same sequence under 1 other name. Lineage: Bacteria; Bacillati; Bacillota; Clostridia; Peptostreptococcales; Anaerovoracaceae. The record is from RNAcentral.
GUCUCGAUAGCUCAGGGGAUAGAGCACCGCUCUCCUAAAGCGGGUGUCGGAGGUUCGAAUCCUCUUCGGGACACCA